This 393-nucleotide ribosomal RNA is filed under the name uncultured bacterium. RNAcentral's name for it is "bacterial SSU rRNA". It matches the Rfam family "Bacterial small subunit ribosomal RNA", at positions 30 to 423 of the family's 1533-position model. The record is from RNAcentral.
AUUGAACGCUGGCGGCAUGCCUUACACAUGCAAGUCGAACGGCAGCACGGGGGCAACCCUGGUGGCGAGUGGCGAACGGGUGAGUAACAUAUCGGAACAUACCCUAGAGUGGGGGAUAACGUAGCGAAAGUUACGCUAAUACCGCAUACGAUCUAAGGAUGAAAGUGGGGGAUCUUCGGACCUCAUGCUCAUGGAGUGGCCGAUAUCUGAUUAGCUAGUUGGUGAGGUAAAGGCUCACCAAGGCGACGAUCAGUAGCUGGUUUGAGAGAACGACCAGCCACACUGGAACUGAGACACGGUCCAGACUCCUACGGGAGGCAGCAGUGGUGAAUUUUGGACAAUGGGGGCAACCCUGAUCCAGCAAUGCCGCGUGAGUGAAGAAGGCCUUCGGGC